Molecule: long non-coding RNA, 865 nt
Organism: Leptopilina boulardi
Lineage: Eukaryota; Metazoa; Arthropoda; Insecta; Hymenoptera; Figitidae
Exons: 3
Source: RefSeq, a predicted model, not a curated record
CACUUCCACUAUCUCAUAGAUAGAUUAAAAGUCUCCAUAUUCUUUUGUAGUCGUUUUAAAAAAUAUAUUAAAAUUUAAAUAUUGACUAGAUUUUAAAACAUUUAAAACACAAUUUUUAUUUAUUUUUUUAUGACAUUUAUGUUUCAUUUUGUUUAAGUGCUGUGUGGGCAGUCACUAGAAAUCUGUGAUGGCGGUUGAAAUGAAAAAGUAUUAAAGAAAAGAAAAGUCAUAAGACGCAUAAUGGCGCUUUAGAAAAAACAGUGCUCAUGUGGUUUACUGAAAAACGUGAGAUUGGUUAACCGGUCAGUGGUCUACUGAUUUGCGAAAUAGCAUUAAUAUUAAAUAAACGAUUAAACGGCUCUGAAAAAUUCAAAGCCAGUACUGGAUGGUUUAAGUCUUUUAAAAAUCGGUAUGGCAUUCGGCAACUGUCGAUACAAGGGGAAAAGCUAUCUGCAAAUGAAGAAGGUGCAUUAGAUUUUUCUUUCAAAAUUUAAUUGAAACAGAAGACUACAGUUUAAACUGUGUAUUUAAUGCCGAUGAAAGCGGAAUUUUAUGGAAAAGUCUGCCAGAAGUCACUCUAGCUGCAGAUAAGGAACAGCGUGACUGUCCAGUUUCAUAUUUCAAUGUACACGUGCAUUCGACGAAAUAUCCCACCAAAGAUCUGACUUUGGCGAUUUUGUUUAUUUUAUCCCUACUCUCUAAAAAACUGUGUCGAACAAAGGGAUCUCUUAAUCUACACUUGAAAAAAUAUCAGUAUGCUCUUAGCCUUUAUUAAAAAAUGUACUCAUUUAUUUUAUGUCAAUAAAUACAUCUACAUUUUUGAUUUACCUCAUUAAAUAAUAAAUUAUGUGUUAGUGCAUUAUAA